UACAGAGGGGGCAAGCGUUGUUCGGAAUUACUGGGCGUAAAGGGCGCGUAGGCGGCCUGUUAAGUCGGACGUGAAAUCCCUCGGCUCAACCGGGGACUGCGUCCGAAACUGGCGGGCUUGAAUUCGGGAGAGGGAUGUGGAAUUCCAGGUGUAGCGGUGAAAUGCGUAGAUAUCUGGAGGAACACCGGUGGCGAAGGCGGCAUCCUGGACCGACAUUGACGCUGAGGCGCGAAAGCCAGGGGAGCAAACGGG
This 252-nucleotide ribosomal RNA is filed under the name uncultured bacterium. RNAcentral describes it as "partial 16S ribosomal RNA". It matches the Rfam family "Bacterial small subunit ribosomal RNA", at positions 524 to 776 of the family's 1533-position model. The record is from RNAcentral.